AUGCAAGACUACUUCGCGGGGAAUCCAAUGUAUCCACCGCACCUCUUCCGGAGAAGGUACCGAAUGCACCGAUCCCUCUUUGUCAAAAUUGUUCCAGCUUGUGAGGCAAAUUGUCGGUAUUUUACUCAGAGAAGAAAUGAUGCGGGCUUAAAGGGAUUUAGUGCAUAUCAAAAAUCUUCGCGGCAAUGCGGGUGA
RNAcentral lists this ribosomal RNA (195 nucleotides) under Triticum aestivum (bread wheat). Its description in RNAcentral is "partial small subunit ribosomal RNA". The record is from RNAcentral. Lineage: Eukaryota; Viridiplantae; Streptophyta; Magnoliopsida; Poales; Poaceae.